GGCUUGGCGGUGUAUCGGUAACACGCCUGCUUAAUGUGCAAUAGGAGGAAUGCGCAGGAGUACCUUGUUCGACUCGAGGUCAGGCCA
Mycena latifolia is the source of this 87-nucleotide non-coding RNA. Lineage: Eukaryota; Fungi; Basidiomycota; Agaricomycetes; Agaricales; Mycenaceae. The record is from the annotation of a GenBank genome assembly.